Molecule: ribosomal RNA, 392 nt
Filed under: uncultured bacterium
Lineage: Bacteria
Description: partial 16S ribosomal RNA
Rfam family: Bacterial small subunit ribosomal RNA
Source: RNAcentral
AUACGGAGGAUCCGAGCGUUAUCCGGAUUUAUUGGGUUUAAAGGGAGCGUAGGUGGAUUGUUAAGUCAGUUGUGAAAGUUUGCGGCUCAACCGUAAAAUUGCAGUUGAAACUGGCAGUCUUGAGUACAGUAGAGGUGGGCGGAAUUCGUGGUGUAGCGGUGAAAUGCUUAGAUAUCACGAAGAACUCCGAUUGCGAAGGCAGCGCACUGGACUGCAACUGACACUGAUGCUCGAAAGUGUGGGUAUCAAACAGGAUUAGAUACCCUGGUAGUCCACACAGUAAACGAUGAAUACUCGCUGUUUGCGAUAUACAGUAAGCGGCCAAGCGAAAGCAUUAAGUAUUCCACCUGGGGAGUACGCCGGCAACGGUGAAACUCAAAGGAAUUGGCGGG